Molecule: ribosomal RNA, 509 nt
Filed under: uncultured bacterium
Lineage: Bacteria
Description: partial 16S ribosomal RNA
Rfam family: Bacterial small subunit ribosomal RNA
Source: RNAcentral
GACGAACGCUGGCGGCGUGCUUAACACAUGCAAGUCGAACGAAGAGCGAUGGAAGCUUGCUUCUAUCAAUCUUAGUGGCGAACGGGUGAGUAACGCGUAAUCAACCUGCCCUUCAGAGGGGGACAACAGUUGGAAACGACUGCUAAUACCGCAUACGAUCUGACCUCGGCAUCGAGGAUAGAUGAAAGGUGGCCUCUACAUGUAAGCUAUCACUGAAGGAGGGGAUUGCGUCUGAUUAGCUAGUUGGAGGGGUAACGGCCCACCAGGUCGAUGAUCAGUAGCCGGUGGCAUGGAAGGAUAGCCGGCCUGGGAACGUGACCGGCGACAUUGGGCCUGAGGGAGGCACCAGAGGGGAAUGUGCCGCAGUAGUGGGAAAUCUUGCGGAACAAGCCGGCGUGUGAUGGAGCGGCCUCGGGUUUGGAAAGACUGUUUAAGGGGGGCAAAAGGCUUUUGUCUGAGAAGGAGGAAGAGUGACGGUAACGGGAAAAGAAGCCCCGGCUAAAUACGUG